UCCAAAGCAGGCUCUGCGCAGACAGCAGCAAGCCUUAUGUGGGGCUUGAACUCGCAAACUGUGAGAUCAUGAUCUGAGCUGAAGUCGGACCUUCCACUGACUGAGCCAUCCAGGUGCCCCGGGAUGAAUUUUUAGAAGCAUCAUUUCUGGGUCAAAGGGAAAAGUUGAGUCCAUUUGCCUUCAGGCUGCCUGUACUUGUAAGUCCACAAUAUGCCAUCAAUGGGGGUCACCAAUAACUUGGACACUGCAGAGGGUUUUAGCUGAGCCUUGUGCACCGCAUGUGGAGAGCUCUGAGGCAUCUGUGUGGAAUGCUGUCCACAGGGAAGAAGUCUGUAAAAAAGAAUACGAAAGUUUAAGGACUGAAAACACUCACCAGCAUAUUUGUGCUGUUGGCCUUCACCUGCCAAGGCUGAGCGAGCAUCUUGGUCCAGCCACGACCCACCUGCCCUCCUCUACCCACCAUCCUCCUGGAGCUCCUGUUGCAGCUGAGGCCUGGGGAGAACAAGGCUGGUUCUAACCCUCUGAAGAAAGUCCCCAGCUCCGAUUAGCCCCAGAAAGUCCAUCAAAAUUCUUACCAGAGUCCUAAAAAGAAGGGGAGGAGCAGAUUCCUCUGGGUGGUAGACUUGGAUCAGCCCUGUAUCCUUCUGCCUGCUGGAAGCUGUGUGUUGCCAAGGAGCAACUUUUCCCUGGAGCACUUCCCUGUCUAGAUCUCCAAGUCCUGAGCCCAGAGUCUGAGACCUGCCACUUCUGCAGAAAGGAAACCACUUAUUGGUUCUCAUCAGAAGAAAAAAAAUUCAAAAGAUUCCAUAGUGUCUACCUGAGGUCCAGAAUAGAAGGAACUUGUGCUCACUUCCAGAGAAGAAGAUCAAAUGCACAUUUAUGUGUUGUUAUUUCUUGAACAAAGGACAUCAUGAUCACUUAUGUGGCUACAUACAUCUACAAUCCAUCUGUGGCGAAGGCAUAAAGACUCCAUUUCUGUCAACUUCGGAGCCUGUUCUCAUUCUUUGCUUGCUCUACCACUAAUGCCAAUUACUUGGGUCUCAUCAAACACACCAACGAAGACCUCUACACCACUCCGUGAAGGCUGCAUGGAAGGUUGGGGGCCUGAGAGCCCUCUGCAGUGUCCUCAAACCCCUCCUGUCUCUUCUGGUGAAGGUGAUCACCAGGAUGAUGCUCCACAUUGCCUGUGUGGGUCUGGCCUGAGCCCCAUCUGUAAAACAGGAUACAAAUGUCUGUCCCAGCAUUGAUUCCUUAAGGUGCUGUGCCUCAUCCAUGAUAGUUCCUGUUCAAUCACAAUGUGAUUAUGGCAUCUUGGAAAGUUCCAUUCUGAAAGGCAAUGAGCGUACCUCAAUUUUAAGCCUGUCAUUUAUCAUUUUUUUCUUCUUUCUUUCCUUCCUUCCUUCCUUCCUUCCUUCCUUCCUUCCUUCC
This is a long non-coding RNA of Felis catus (domestic cat), 1428 nucleotides long. RefSeq lists it as uncharacterized. The record is from RefSeq and is a predicted model, not a curated record. The transcript is spliced from 9 exons. Lineage: Eukaryota; Metazoa; Chordata; Mammalia; Carnivora; Felidae.